Molecule: long non-coding RNA, 772 nt
Organism: Drosophila mojavensis
Lineage: Eukaryota; Metazoa; Arthropoda; Insecta; Diptera; Drosophilidae
Exons: 2
Source: RefSeq, a predicted model, not a curated record
GUAUUUACUUAGUGAAAUUCAAAAUAAAUUCAAUUUAAAUAUUAAUACAAAUCACGUAUUUUGUAUUUUUUUUACUCGUUCUUGAAAUUGAACUGAGUUUAUUCGUUUUUGGCCAUGUCCGUCUUGCUAUCUGCCCGUGCUUCCGCUUGACUGCCCGUAAGAAUAAAAGUAAUGGAAGCUAGAGACUUGAAAAUUUACAACACUACCCUCGAUUCAUCUGCAGGGGCGUGGCAAGUUGUCUCCUAUCAGUUAAAGUUGUAUGUAUGUAUGUAUGCAUGUAGAUAUGUAAGCUAAAUACAAUAUGCAUCCCAAGCCGUUGUCUGAGCGGAAAGGAAGUGAUUCCAUACAAGUUGGCAGAGGGUUGUGUUAAAUGUCAAUUAAAGUGGAACUGAUGCCAAUUACACGUCUCUGGUUCAAGGAUGUGCUGCACAAUGCGGCGUAUGCGCAAUUUAUGCACGUGCCGUUCGGGCAAUGCCGCUGCUGCUAAAAAGCUCAUAUGAUAUGGCAUGUGCAUGACAUUAGAUCGAAUUCUUGGCCGUUUGGCGACUGCAUGCCAGCUGGAAAGGCGCAUCGAGCUGGUGAUUGAGCAAUCGGCGAUUGAUACACCUGCCCAACUGCCUCGCGCACUUGCAACGCAUGGAAAUUUACAACAUAUAAUUGAUUGAUUGACUUGUUGUUGUUGUUAUUGUUGUUUGCUGUGAUUUGUUGUUGUUGUGGCUGUUCUAGCUGUUGUUGUUGUUCUUGUGUAGCGCCAGUUAAAUGAAUUGCACGG